Molecule: long non-coding RNA, 566 nt
Organism: Oncorhynchus nerka (sockeye salmon)
Lineage: Eukaryota; Metazoa; Chordata; Actinopteri; Salmoniformes; Salmonidae
Exons: 4
Source: RefSeq, a predicted model, not a curated record
AAACUCAUUCCGAACUUUUAGAUAGUUAGGGACAGAACUAUUUUUUAACGUUGUCAGCAUUGCUUUAGCGCAAACAUAAAGGCCCGAAUAUUGAGCUGCACGGACAGAUUAAAAUAAUAAUAAUAAUAUUCGGAAUAAGGGAAUCUCGCAUAAUGGAUAUUUCUGGAGGAUCCCCGACAUUUACGCAGCUUUUACGCGAUUUACCUGAUCUGGAACAUGAUGGGGGUUCGCAGGAGCAAAAGUCUGGCAGACAAUCACCAACGGCCUUUUUUCGUUCCGACAUACAGCCCUUUAUGAUAAAGGAUGCGUUACGGACAGCUGACACGCAGGACUUUGAUGCAAUUCUACCGUUCACUGUGGCCCAAGUACACUGCUCAGAAUCAAGCCCACCCGAAAACUACUGUUGGGCCGGGAACUUGCUGCUUCACGAGCCGGCGCUCCAGGGACAAGACUGCCCGGAGACAGACCCAGCAGAAUCUGGAACGCUAGAGGGAAAAAGUCACACACCCCCGGUUUCGGCGAUUCGUCACAACAAGCGCCAAAAAAGCCGAGGUAUUUUAACUAUG